GACGUAGGGCGCGAGCGUUGUCCGGAUUUAUUGGGCGUAAAGAGCGUGUAGGCGGCCAGACAGGUCAGCUGUGAAAACUCGAGGCUCAACCUCGAGACGUCGGUUGAAACCGUCUGGCUAGAGUCCGGAAGAGGAGAGUGGAAUUCCCGGUGUAGCGGUGAAAUGCGCAGAUAUCGGGAGGAACACCUAUGGCGAAGGCAGCUCGCUGGGACGUUACUGACGCUGAGACGCGAAAGCGUGGGGAGCAAACAGG
RNAcentral lists this ribosomal RNA (253 nucleotides) under uncultured bacterium. RNAcentral describes it as "partial 16S ribosomal RNA". It matches the Rfam family "Bacterial small subunit ribosomal RNA", at positions 524 to 776 of the family's 1533-position model. The record is from RNAcentral.